CCUACGGGAGUCAGCAGUGGGGAAUAUUGCACAAUGGGGGAAACCCUGAUGCAGCAACGCCGCGUGCGUGAAGCAGGUUUUCGGAUUGUAAAGCUCUGUUAGCAGGGAAGAGGAAGGACGGUACCUGCAGAGGAAGCCACGGCUAACUACGGGCCCGCAGCCGCGGUCAUACGUCGGUGGCAAGAAUUGGUAGGAAGAACUGGGCGUAAAAGAUGUGUAGACGGUUAAACAAGUUAUAUGGUAAAUAUAUAGGGUUAACCUGUAGAAAGCAUAUAAAACUGUUUAACUAGAGUGAAGGAGAGGUAAGUGGAAUUCCUAGUGUAGCGGGGAAAUGCGUAGAGAUUAGGAAGAACACCAGUGGCGAAGGCGACUUACUGGACUGUAACUGACGCUGAGGCAUGAGAGCAUGGGGAGCAAACAGGAUUAGAUACCCUUGUAGUC
This 441-nucleotide ribosomal RNA is filed under the name uncultured bacterium. RNAcentral describes it as "partial 16S ribosomal RNA". It matches the Rfam family "Bacterial small subunit ribosomal RNA", at positions 338 to 795 of the family's 1533-position model. The record is from RNAcentral.